CCCUUAGAGUUUGAUCCUGGCUCAGAACGAACGUUAGCGGCGCGCCUAACACAUGCAAGUCGAGCGAGAAAGGGCUUCGGCCCCAGUAAAGCGGCGCACGGGUGAGUAACACGUGGAUAACCUUCCCCCAGGUUGGGAAUAACGUUCCGAAAGGAACGCUAAUACCGAAUAAGACCACGGCCUCUUUGGAGGCUGAGGUCAAAGCAGGCCUCUUCUUGAAAGCUUGCGCCAGGGGAUGGGUCCGCGGCCCAUCAGCUAGUUGGUAGGGUAAUGGCCUACCAAGGCGAAGACGGGUAGCUGGUCUUAGAGGAUGAUCAGCCACACUGGAACUGAGACACGGUCCAGACUCCUACGGGAGGCAGCAGUGGGGAAUCUUGCGCAAUGGGCGAAAGCCUGACGCAGCGACGCCGCGUGAGCGAUGAAGGCCUUCGGGUUGUAAAGCUCUGUGGAGGGAGACGAAUAAGUCGGAACUAAUAUUUCCGAUGAUGACGGUACCCCUUUAGCAAGCACCGGCUAACUCUGUGCCAGCAGCCGCGGUAAGACAGAGGGUGCAAACGUUGUUCGGAAUCACUGGGCGUAAAGCGUGUGUAGGCGGCUUUGUAGGUCGGAUGUGAAAGCCCCGGGCUCAACCUGGGAAGUGCACUCGAUACUGCAUCGCUUGAGUACUGGAGAGGUUGGUGGAAUUCUCGGUGUAGAGGUGAAAUUCGUAGAUAUCGGGAAGAACAUCGGUGG
This 732-nucleotide ribosomal RNA is filed under the name uncultured bacterium. RNAcentral's name for it is "bacterial SSU rRNA". It matches the Rfam family "Bacterial small subunit ribosomal RNA", at positions 1 to 715 of the family's 1533-position model. The record is from RNAcentral.